Molecule: ribosomal RNA, 185 nt
Filed under: Acidaminococcus fermentans
Lineage: Bacteria; Bacillati; Bacillota; Negativicutes; Acidaminococcales; Acidaminococcaceae
Description: 16S rRNA. Bacterial SSU
Rfam family: Bacterial small subunit ribosomal RNA
Source: RNAcentral
CUAUUUUGGAGAGUUUGAUCCUGGCUCAGGACGAACGCUGGCGGCGUGCUUAACACAUGCAAGUCGAACGGAGAACUUUCUUCGGAAUGUUCUUAGUGGCGAACGGGUGAGUAACGCGUAGGCAACCUGCCCUCUGGUUGGGGACAACAUUCCGAAAGGGAUGCUAAUACCGAAUGAGAUCCUCU